RNAcentral lists this ribosomal RNA (460 nucleotides) under uncultured bacterium. RNAcentral's name for it is "partial 16S ribosomal RNA". It matches the Rfam family "Bacterial small subunit ribosomal RNA", at positions 338 to 795 of the family's 1533-position model. The record is from RNAcentral.
CCUACGGGGGGCAGCAGUGAGGAAUAUUGGUCAAUGGACGAGAGUCUGAACCAGCCAAGUAGCGUGCAGGAUGACUGCCCUAUGAGUUGUAAACUUCUUUUGUAUGGGAGUAAAAUGUUCCACGUGUGGGGUUUUGUAUGUACCAUAUGAAUAAGGAUCGGCUAACUCCGUGCCAGCAGCCGCGGUAAUACGGAGGAUCCGAGCGUUAUCCGGAUUUAGUGGGUUUAAAGGGAGCGUAGGUGGUUUGUUAAGUCAGUGGUGAAAGUUUGAGGCUCAACCGUAGCAUUGCAGUUGACACUGGCAGUCUUGAGUACAGUAGAGGUGGGCGGAAUGCGUGGUGUAGCGGUGAAAUGCUUAGAUAUCAUGAAGAACUCCGAUUGCGAAGGCAGCUCACUGGACUGCAACUGACACUGAGGCUCGAAAGUGUGGGGAUCAAACAGGAUUAGAUACCCUUGUAGUC